CGUUUUAAUACCCUUAUAAACGAAAAGGAUAAGCCUUUGGGUUCUGUAAUGUGAGCCAGCAUUCUUUGAGUACUUACAUGUCAGGAACCAAAGAGAAGUGAAGGAAUGUGUCCAAGGGCUCCCAAGUUGGCGGUGGAAUUAGAAUUGAAGCCUCAGCUCCAGAGCCUGUGUUCUGAACGACCUGGUUGCAGCUCACAAAAUACACUUUGGCAGUACUUUCAUAACGAAAACAAAUGAUUACAACUAGUUUACAAAUGCUUUACUUUACUGGAAGAUCGACAUGUUUGACUGAUUUUCAAAAAUAAAUGUCAGAAGCAGCA
Mandrillus leucophaeus (drill) is the source of this 320-nucleotide long non-coding RNA. RefSeq lists it as uncharacterized. The transcript has 2 exons. Lineage: Eukaryota; Metazoa; Chordata; Mammalia; Primates; Cercopithecidae. The record is from RefSeq and is a predicted model, not a curated record.